AGUACUAAAACCGGGUGUUUAGGGGUUGUGAACAUCAAUUUAAGAUAACAUUAGGAACAUAUACUAUUUAUAAAUCUUACCUAAAAAGGAAAUUACGUAACGUAAUAAAAUAAUACUUAAUUAUGUUAAAGACUUAAGUGUGAACCUUGAUACAGGUGACAUUUGAAAAUAUAUUUUUAAAUUGAAACAACUAAUACCCUAAGGGCUGAUUUUUCAAGAGCCAGAUAAAACGUCAAGUAGCUAACUGAUCAAUAACUUUAUCUGAUUCUUUAACGAACCAAUAAAGAGUUUCAAUUUUUCAAAGCAUAGUUACCAGUCAGUUUACUACCUGACCUUUUUUUGUGACUAGCUUCACACUACAUCUGUGUGAGCGAGACGCGCUUAUGAACAUUUACAGAUCUAAGAAAGAGACAAACAAUUUUCAACUUAAUGACAGCGGUUGUCACAUUUUAGAGGGAAUCAUAACAUAACCUUAAACUUUGACGACUCGUCUUCGUGUUAAUAUUUAUUUUCCGUUCGAAUUUAUUGUUUGCUUUUUGUGUGUUGUGUGUAAUCAUGGAAAAUAUCGUAAAACGUGAACGUUCCACGAAUUUUAACAAAAGCGAAAUAAGAUUAUUGACUGAAUUGGUGGCAAAACACCGUACUAUAAUUGAAAAUAAGCAGACAGACGCCGUAACCAAUAAAGAAAAGGAAGCAGCGUGGAUAAAAAUCAGUUCAUUAUUUAAUGCGGCUACGGGAUUUACAGCGAGGAGUACCAAGAGCCUGAAGCUUAAAUAUGAAGGCAUAAAAAAGGAAACCAAAAAAACAUUGGCCAAACAUCGGCAAGAGCUGUACAAAACUGGUGGCGGGCCCUCUUCAGCCCCAGAGGUUACAGAUAUACAGGAGAGGGUUAUCGCGAUAUGUUCGAAUAUCAAUGGGCUGGAUGCUCGAAAUGACAGCGACAAAAUUCCAGGUAUGAAGUCAAAUAUUUUAAAAUAUUUUUGUUGAUGUUACCAUGGGAAUUGAUAUAGUGUUUAUGAAAACAAAAGUAAUAACGCACUACAUUUAUCUUUAGCAUCUUUCUAAGCAGUUUGUGUAUUGUUGUUUUUUUUUUUCAGAACCUUUAGAACUGGAAGAGACUGCUAAAGUUGACCCGCUAUCGUUGCCACUGCAAUCAUUAGAAAAUAAUUUAGUAAUUGUACCAUGUGAUGACGAUAUUCCGUGUACUUUAGAUCAAGAAGAGUUUUGCCCAUAACAGGAUUUAAAGGAGAAAGUUAACAGUGAAAUUGGAAAUGGUAUUUUAAUUUAUUGAAAAAAAAGUACAUAGUAUAAUAGUGUAAUAAAAUAUAAUAGUAAAUUAAUUUGUUUUCAGACAAGGCCUUUGAUGACUUUCAAUCUAUAGAGAUACAGGAUAUGGAAGUGGAUCAAACUGAAAAAGGUAUGUCUUUAUCAAUUUUCCAGUUCAUUUAUUUACAUUGUAUAAAAUAACAUUAAUUAAAACUUAUCAUUAUUUUCAGAGAAUAAGUGGUCUUCAUGGAAGCCAAAGGCUUUAAAAACUAAGAUUAGUCCAUACUUGAAAAGUAAUCAAAAAAUUACUAAAGUUGGAGUGACUGCAAAACUGGACCAUUUAACUGAAUCUCGCUUAGAGCUAGUGAAGCUCCAGAAGGAAAUUGCCAUAAAAGAGCAUGAGUUUGUCAAACAGGCACACUUAUUAAAAAUGCAGAACCUGCAUAAUGAUGAAAGAAGGAAGCAGGAAAUGCAUGAAGUACUAUUAAGUAAGCUCCGUACUGGUGUAAAUUAUGGAACAAGUCCUUUAGAAAUAAUAAAUAAAGAUUUAUAAAAUGUU
Helicoverpa armigera (cotton bollworm) is the source of this 1825-nucleotide long non-coding RNA. RefSeq lists it as uncharacterized. The record is from RefSeq and is a predicted model, not a curated record. NCBI's taxonomy places the organism in Eukaryota, Metazoa, Arthropoda, Insecta, Lepidoptera, Noctuidae. The transcript has 2 exons.